GAGUUUGAUCUUGGCUCAGGAUGAACGCUGGCGGCGUGCCUAACACAUGCAAGUCGAACGAAGCGCCUUAAGAGAUUCUUCGGAUGAUCUUUUGGUGACUGAGUGGCGGACGGGUGAGUAACGCGUGGGUAACCUGCCCUGUACAGGGGGAUAACAGCCAGAAAUGGCUGCUAAUACCGCAUAAGCGCACAGGAAGACAUCUUCCGGUGUGAAAAACUCCGGUGGUACAGGAUGGGCCCGCGUCUGAUUAGCUGGUUGGCGGGGUAAUGGCCCACCAAGGCAACGAUCAGUAGCCGGUCUGAGAGGAUGAACGGCCACAUUGGAACUGAGACACGGUCCAAACUCCUACGGGAGCAGCAGUGGGGAAUAUUGCACAAGUGGGGGAAACCCUGAUGCAGCAACGCCGCGUGAGUGAAGAAGUAUUUCGGUAUGUAAAGCU
Molecule: ribosomal RNA, 439 nt
Filed under: uncultured bacterium
Lineage: Bacteria
Description: bacterial SSU rRNA
Rfam family: Bacterial small subunit ribosomal RNA
Source: RNAcentral